This 497-nucleotide ribosomal RNA is filed under the name uncultured bacterium. Its description in RNAcentral is "partial 16S ribosomal RNA". It matches the Rfam family "Bacterial small subunit ribosomal RNA", at positions 28 to 507 of the family's 1533-position model. The record is from RNAcentral.
GACGAACGCUGGCGGCGUGCCUAAUACAUGCCAGUAGAACGCUGAAGAGAGGAGCUUGCUCUUCUUGGAUGAGUUGCGAACGGGUGAGUAACGCGUAGGUAACCUGCCUUGUAGCGGGGGAUAACUAUUGGAAACGAUAGCUAAUACCGCAUAACAAUGGAUGACACAUGUCAUUUAUUUGAAAGGGGCAAUUGCUCCACUACAAGAUGGACCUGCGUUGUAUUAGCUAGUAGGUGAGGUAAUGGCUCACCUAGGCGACGAUACAUAGCCGACCUGAGAGGGUGGUCGGCCACACUGGGACUGGGACACGGCCCAGACUCCUACGGGAGGCAGCAGUAGGGAAUCUUCGGCAAUGGGGGCAACCCUGACCGAGCAACGCCGCGUGAGUGAAGAAGGUUUUCGGAUCGUAAAGCUCUGUUGUAAGUCAAGAACGGGUGUGAGAGUGGAAAGUUCACACUGUGACGGUAGCUUACCAGAAAGGGACGGCUAACUACGUG